GGUGGGGUUGGUACAUUGGCAAGUCCAGCUGCCUGCGAAGCAGCCAAACCUCUUAACGGGGUUUUGCGGGUCCAAAUCCCGCUCCCACCGCCA
Molecule: transfer RNA, 93 nt
Filed under: Terriglobia bacterium
Lineage: Bacteria; Pseudomonadati; Acidobacteriota; Terriglobia
Description: tRNA-Arg
Rfam family: tRNA
About the family: Transfer RNA (tRNA) molecules are approximately 80 nucleotides in length. Their secondary structure includes four short double-helical elements and three loops (D, anti-codon, and T loops).
Source: RNAcentral